RNAcentral lists this transfer RNA (43 nucleotides) under Demodex brevis. Its description in RNAcentral is "tRNA-Asp". Lineage: Eukaryota; Metazoa; Arthropoda; Arachnida; Trombidiformes; Demodicidae. The record is from RNAcentral.
AAAGAAUAAACAUGAAAUGUCAUUUCUAAAAAUAAAUUCUUAC